AGAGUUUGAUCAUGGCUCAGAUUGAACGCUGGCGGCAUGCUUUACACAUGCAAGUCGAACGGGCUGUCGGGGCAACCCGGCAGUCAGUGGCGAACGGGUGAGUAAUGCAUCGGAACGUGUCCCGUAGUGGGGGAUAACCCGGCGAAAGCCGGACUAAUACCGCAUAUGCUCUACGGAGGAAAGCGGGGGACCUGAAAGGGCCUCGUGCUAUGGGAGCGGCCGAUGUCCGAUUAGCUUGUUGGUGGGGUAAUGGCCUACCAAGGCGACGAUCGGUAGCUGGUCUGAGAGGAUGAUCAGCCACACUGGGACUGAGACACGGCCCAGACUCCUACGGGAGGCAGCAGUGGGGAAUUUUGGACAAUGGGGGCAACCCUGAUCCAGCCAUGCCGCGUGCGGGAAGAAGGCCUUCGGGUUGUAAACCGCUUUUAGCCGGAAAGAAAAGGCACAGGCCAAUACCCUGUGUUCUUGACGGUACCGGCGGAAUAAGCACCGGCUAACUACGUGCCAGCAGCCGCGGUAAUACGUAGGGUGCGAGCGUUAAUCGGAAUUACUGGGCGUAAAGCGUGCGUAGGCGGUCCGCUGUGUCCCGUGUGAAAGCCCCGGGCUCAACCUGGGAAUUGCAUGGGAAACUGGCGGGCUUGAGUGCGGCAGAGGGGGGUGGAAUUCCGCGUGUAGCAGUGAAAUGCGUAGAGAUGCGGAG
This 700-nucleotide ribosomal RNA is filed under the name uncultured bacterium. RNAcentral's name for it is "bacterial SSU rRNA". It matches the Rfam family "Bacterial small subunit ribosomal RNA", at positions 8 to 703 of the family's 1533-position model. The record is from RNAcentral.